Molecule: ribosomal RNA, 592 nt
Filed under: uncultured bacterium
Lineage: Bacteria
Description: bacterial SSU rRNA
Rfam family: Bacterial small subunit ribosomal RNA
Source: RNAcentral
ACCGGACUCGCGAAUGCUCUAGAUUNAAGUUUGAUCAUGGCUCAGAUUGAACGCUGGCGGCAGGCUUAACACAUGCAAGUCGAGCGGGGAAGGUUGCUUCGGUAACUGACCUAGCGGCGGACGGGUGAGUAAUGCUUAGGAAUCUGCCAUUUAGUGGGGGACAACAUUCCGAAAGGAAUGCUAAUACCGCAUACGUCCUACGGGAGAAAGCAGGGGAUCUUCGGACCUUGCGCUAAAUGAUGAGCCUAAGUCGGAUUAGCUAGUUGGUGGGGUAAAGGCCUACCAAGGCGACGAUCUGUAGCGGGUCUGAGAGGAUGAUCCGCCACACUGGGACUGAGACACGGCCCAGACUCCUACGGGAGGCAGCAGUGGGGAAUAUUGGACAAUGGGCGGAAGCCUGAUCCAGCCAUGCCGCGUGUGUGAAGAAGGCCUUAUGGUUGUAAAGCACUUUAAGCGAGGAGGAGGCUACCAGUAUUAAUACUACUGGAUAGUGGACGUUACUCGCAGAAUAAGCACCGGCUAACUCUGUGCCAGCAGCCGCGGUAAUACAGAGGGUGCGANCGUUAAUCGGAUUUACUGGGCGUNAAAGCGU